Molecule: ribosomal RNA, 1509 nt
Filed under: Klebsiella pneumoniae
Lineage: Bacteria; Pseudomonadati; Pseudomonadota; Gammaproteobacteria; Enterobacterales; Enterobacteriaceae
Description: bacterial SSU rRNA
Rfam family: Bacterial small subunit ribosomal RNA
Source: RNAcentral
AGAGUUUGAUCAUGGCUCAGAUUGAACGCUGGCGGCAGGCCUAACACAUGCAAGUCGAGCGGUAGCACAGAGAGCUUGCUCUCGGGUGACGAGCGGCGGACGGGUGAGUAAUGUCUGGGAAACUGCCUGAUGGAGGGGGAUAACUACUGGAAACGGUAGCUAAUACCGCAUAAUGUCGCAAGACCAAAGUGGGGGACCUUCGGGCCUCAUGCCAUCAGAUGUGCCCAGAUGGGAUUAGCUAGUAGGUGGGGUAACGGCUCACCUAGGCGACGAUCUCUAGCUGGUCUGAGAGGAUGACCAGCCACACUGGAACUGAGACACGGUCCAGACUCCUACGGGAGGCAGCAGUGGGGAAUAUUGCACAAUGGGCGCAAGCCUGAUGCAGCCAUGCCGCGUGUGUGAAGAAGGCCUUCGGGUUGUAAAGCACUUUCAGCGGGGAGGAAGGCGNCGAUUGACGUUACCCGCAGAAGAAGCACCGGCUAACUCCGUGCCAGCAGCCGCGGUAAUACGGAGGGUGCAAGCGUUAAUCGGAAUUACUGGGCGUAAAGCGCACGCAGGCGGUCUGUCAAGUCGGAUGUGAAAUCCCCGGGCUCAACCUGGGAACUGCAUUCGAAACUGGCAGGCUAGAGUCUUGUAGAGGGGGGUAGAAUUCCAGGUGUAGCGGUGAAAUGCGUAGAGAUCUGGAGGAAUACCGGUGGCGAAGGCGGCCCCCUGGACAAAGACUGACGCUCAGGUGCGAAAGCGUGGGGAGCAAACAGGAUUAGAUACCCUGGUAGUCCACGCCGUAAACGAUGUCGAUUUGGAGGUUGUGCCCUUGAGGCGUGGCUUCCGGAGCUAACGCGUUAAAUCGACCGCCUGGGGAGUACGGCCGCAAGGUUAAAACUCAAAUGAAUUGACGGGGGCCCGCACAAGCGGUGGAGCAUGUGGUUUAAUUCGAUGCAACGCGAAGAACCUUACCUGGUCUUGACAUCCACAGAACUUUCCAGAGAUGGAUUGGUGCCUUCGGGAACUGUGAGACAGGUGCUGCAUGGCUGUCGUCAGCUCGUGUUGUGAAAUGUUGGGUUAAGUCCCGCAACGAGCGCAACCCUUAUCCUUUGUUGCCAGCGGUNGGCCGGGAACUCAAAGGAGACUGCCAGUGAUAAACUGGAGGAAGGUGGGGAUGACGUCAAGUCAUCAUGGCCCUUACGACCAGGGCUACACACGUGCUACAAUGGCAUAUACAAAGAGAAGCGACCUCGCGAGAGCAAGCGGACCUCAUAAAGUAUGUCGUAGUCCGGAUUGGAGUCUGCAACUCGACUCCAUGAAGUCGGAAUCGCUAGUAAUCGUAGAUCAGAAUGCUACGGUGAAUACGUUCCCGGGCCUUGUACACACCGCCCGUCACACCAUGGGAGUGGGUUGCAAAAGAAGUAGGUAGCUUAACCUUCGGGAGGGCGCUUACCACUUUGUGAUUCAUGACUGGGGUGAAGUCGUAACAAGGUAACCGUAGGGGAACCUGCGGUUGGAUCACCU